This 948-nucleotide long non-coding RNA is filed under the name Phoenix dactylifera (date palm). Its description in RNAcentral is "long non-coding RNA (PDAC_LNC016811)". Lineage: Eukaryota; Viridiplantae; Streptophyta; Magnoliopsida; Arecales; Arecaceae. The record is from RNAcentral.
GUUGUACUCGGUUGCGAAAACUUCUUACAACUUAGGUUGAUUUAUUUUUACUGCGGCCCAGUUAGAUCAUCUGAAAACAACAUGCUUUAGUAACUCAAAUGCAACUCAGAAAGUCGCUCGGCUGGUGUGUUGUGUUCUCAUUGCUCUCUUUAUAUUUGCAUUUCCAAUUGUGCCACGUGAUCAAGCAACGUUAAUGGUGGAAGACAGUUGACAUUCUAGACUGUAUUUUUUUUCAUUGCUCGGUAGAUUAAGAUUCAUUUAUCUUUCCUCGCUAGUAUCAACCAGCUUACUCACGCUUAAGACCUUCUAGAGCUGAAGUUGCGCUGCUUGCUUUUGCAGGACUACUUCCGCUUGGCUGCGCCACCAGUCCGCCGGCCCUUCAGUUCCUCUGGCUCUUGCUCUCGGUGUCUCCGGUCGAAAUCCCAAACCAUUCCUGGAUAGCGAUCCUACCAAAUCAAAAAGUCCGGCGACCGCCAUUUGCCGAAGGCUUGGUUGAUCACUGGGCAACCUCCUUUGGAUGGCUCUACAUGGUAGAAUACUACAUUGUCGAACGUAGUUAAAGGACACGAAAAAGGGAGUUCCUCUCCAAUCCCUCUCUCGCUCGAGAAUCACAAGGAGCCACGACACCUAGGCAGCAGCUAAACGCGAUUGCCAAGCCAACAAACCUUGUUUCAUGUGAUUCGAUGGCAAUAUUCUUCUACUGAAAUAUGCAAAACAUGAAUAACUAGGAUUUUAAAAGUUUUUAAUACUCAGCAAUUAUAAUACCUUGUUAAAAUGGUCAUGAAAACAGAAUAUUCCAAUCGAUAUCUUUUAAAGUAUCACUUUAUGUCAGCAAAGAUAAUAGGGGCCAAUAUUUUUGUUGUGAAUUUUACACAAAAGAUCUACUUAGCUAUUGAUUUUACAGAAGAAAGAUUGAUUUUUCCGUACCCUAUAAUUGUUUAAAAGUUU